UACGUAGGGUGCGAGCGUUAAUCGGAAUUACUGGGCGUAAAGCGUGCGCAGGCGGUCGGGUUCGUCGCUGGUGAAAGCCCCACGCUCAACGUGGGAAGGUCCGGCGAGACAGCCCGACUGGAGGCAGGGAGAGGUCGGUGGAAUUCCGGGUGUAGUGGUGAAAUGCGUAGAGAUCCGGAGGAACACCAGAGGCGAAGGCGGCCGACUGGACCUGACCUGACGCUGAGGCGCGAAGGCGUGGGGAGCGAACGGG
This 253-nucleotide ribosomal RNA is filed under the name uncultured bacterium. Its description in RNAcentral is "partial 16S ribosomal RNA". It matches the Rfam family "Bacterial small subunit ribosomal RNA", at positions 524 to 776 of the family's 1533-position model. The record is from RNAcentral.